CGAAAGCCUGACGGAGCAACGCCGCGUGAGGGAGGAAGGUCUGUGGAUUGUAAACCUCUUUUGUUAGGGAAGAAGCUCUGACGGUACCUAACGAAUAAGCAUCGGCUAACUCCGUGCCAGCAGCCGCGGUAAUACGGAGGAGGCAAGCGUUAUCCGGAAUUAUUGGGCGUAAAGCGUCCGCAGGUGGCGAUUCAAGUCUGCUGUCAAAGCACGGGGCUUAACUCCGUAAAGGCAGUGGAAACUGAAUAGCUAGAGUGCCGUAGGGGUAGAGGGAAUUCCCGGUGUAGCGGUGAAAUGCGUAGAGAUCGGGAAGAACAUCGGUGGCGAAAGCGCUCUACUGGACGGCAACUGACACUCAGGGACGAAAGCUAGGGGAGCG
RNAcentral lists this ribosomal RNA (379 nucleotides) under uncultured cyanobacterium. RNAcentral describes it as "bacterial SSU rRNA". It matches the Rfam family "Bacterial small subunit ribosomal RNA", at positions 376 to 770 of the family's 1533-position model. Lineage: Bacteria; Bacillati; Cyanobacteriota. The record is from RNAcentral.